UGCAGUCGAGCGAAUGGAUUGAGAGCUUGCUCUUAUGAAGUUAGCGGCGGACGGGUGAGUAACACGUGGGUAACCUGCCCAUAAGACUGGGAUAACUCCGGGAAACCGGGGCUAAUACCGGAUAAUAUUUUGAACUGCAUGGUUCGAAAUUGAAAGGCGGCUUCGGCUGUCACUUAUGGAUGGACCCGCGUCGCAUUAGCUAGUUGGUGAGGUAACGGCUCACCAAGGCAACGAUGCGUAGCCGACCUGAGAGGGUGAUCGGCCACACUGGGACUGAGACACGGCCCAGACUCCUACGGGAGGCAGCAGUAGGGAAUCUUCCGCAAUGGACGAAAGUCUGACGGAGCAACGCCGCGUGAGUGAUGAAGGCUUUCGGGUCGUAAAACUCUGUUGUUAGGGAAGAACAAGUGCUAGUUGAAUAAGCUGGCACCUUGACGGUACCUAACCAGAAAGCCACGGCUAACUACGUGCCAGCAGCCGCGGUAAUACGUAGGUGGCAAGCGUUAUCCGGAAUUAUUGGGCGUAAAGCGCGCGCAGGUGGUUUCUUAAGUCUGAUGUGAAAGCCCACGGCUCAACCGUGGAGGGUCAUUGGAAACUGGGAGACUUGAGUGCAGAAGAGGAAAGUGGAAUUCCAUGUGUAGCGGUGAAAUGCGUAGAGAUAUGGAGGAACACCAGUGGCGAAGGCGACUUUCUGGUCUGUAACUGACACUGAGGCGCGAAAGCGUGGGG
RNAcentral lists this ribosomal RNA (729 nucleotides) under Bacillus thuringiensis. Its description in RNAcentral is "bacterial SSU rRNA". It matches the Rfam family "Bacterial small subunit ribosomal RNA", at positions 56 to 766 of the family's 1533-position model. Lineage: Bacteria; Bacillati; Bacillota; Bacilli; Caryophanales; Bacillaceae. The record is from RNAcentral.